Labeo rohita (rohu) is the source of this 408-nucleotide long non-coding RNA. RefSeq lists it as uncharacterized. NCBI's taxonomy places the organism in Eukaryota, Metazoa, Chordata, Actinopteri, Cypriniformes, Cyprinidae. The transcript has 3 exons. The record is from RefSeq and is a predicted model, not a curated record.
CAGGGUUUAAAAGACCACGGUGACCUUAAGCAGCAGUGUAUCAGAUCACAGUAUUUGACUUCAUCCUUCAGUACAGCGUGAGUCGUGAAGUGAAUAAACCAGACGAGAUGUCCCAGCAGAAAUUUGAAGAACUCAGUGAGGAACUGCAGCAAAGCAUUGAGAAACUCAACUCAGAGUACAACAGAAAUCACAAAACCCUCGCAGAUCAAAUAAAGAAACUGAACAACAUCACAGAAGAACUUGAAUCCAUGCACAAGAACACUACGAGGGGGAGUUUGGUAGGAGCAUCAAUGGGAGCAGCAGGAGGAAUUGCACUGCUGGGUAUAGUUUUGGCCCCAUUUACAUUUGGUGCAUCUAUAGCUGUUACUGGUGCCGUUGGUGUUACUGCUAUGGGUGUUGGAGUAACUG